UUAGGGGCAGCAGAGAGCUGGAAAUGGAGUCCAAUGGGGCCAGUGUUCAAUAUAACCGCUGGAGUGAAGAUAACAUUACCUUACAAGAACCACAAUCACGCUCCAGACUGCUUGGAAUCUACAACAGAGUGUUCACUGGACGGCUGGUCAUCAUGUUCAAAAUAGCAGCAUCGUUGACAGUGAUGGUUGUCAUUUACAUUGCUGGAUACAUCACAGGGUUCUACGUUCACCAAUGUGGAUAAGAACUCUCUGUACUGAUAAAUAAUGAGAUAUUGGAAAGAAAACUGGUUGUUAUUUGCAAAGUGAAUUAGAUUUUUUAAACUAUACUAAUAUUUAGCUUUUAUUUUGUUUAAAUGUGCUACACAGAAUCACUUAACUUUAAAAAAUGACUAAUUUCUAAUUUUUAAUAAGAAAAAACAUGUUAAGACUCAAAAUUAAUGCACUGUCAUCAUUUAUGACUUGUUCUUUCAUUCUUGACUUGUUUCAAACCAGUUUUAGUUUCUUUGUUCUGUUCAACACAACUGAGUGUUGAAAUAUGUUGGUAACCAUUGACUUCCACAGUAUUCGUUUUUCCUACUGUGAAUGUCAAUGGUUACCGG
Danio rerio (zebrafish) is the source of this 599-nucleotide non-coding RNA. Ensembl annotates it as small integral membrane protein 1. Its record names the gene smim1. The record is from Ensembl. Lineage: Eukaryota; Metazoa; Chordata; Actinopteri; Cypriniformes; Danionidae.